Molecule: ribosomal RNA, 431 nt
Filed under: uncultured bacterium
Lineage: Bacteria
Description: partial 16S ribosomal RNA
Rfam family: Bacterial small subunit ribosomal RNA
Source: RNAcentral
AACGAACGCUGGCGGCAUGCCUAACACAUGCAAGUCGAACGAGACCUUCGGGUCUAGUGGCGCACGGGUGCGUAACGCGUGGGAACCUGCCCUUAGGUUCGGAAUAACUCCCCGAAAGGGGUGCUAAUACCGGAUAAUGUCUUCGGACCAAAGAUUUAUCGCCUUUGGAUGGGCCCGCGUUGGAUUAGCUAGUUGGUAGGGUAAAAGCCUACCAAGGCGACGAUCCAUAGCUGGUCUGAGAGGAUGAUCAGCCACACUGGGACUGAGACACGGCCCAGACUCCUACGGGAGGCAGCAGUGGGGAAUAUUGGACAAUGGGCGAAAGCCUGAUCCAGCAAUGCCGCGUGAGUGAUGAAGGCCUUAGGGUUGUAAAGCUCUUUUACCCGGGAUGAUAAGGACAGUACCGGGAGAAGAAGCUCCGGCUAACUCCG